Molecule: ribosomal RNA, 468 nt
Filed under: uncultured bacterium
Lineage: Bacteria
Description: partial 16S ribosomal RNA
Rfam family: Bacterial small subunit ribosomal RNA
Source: RNAcentral
GACGAACGCUGGCGGCGUGCUUAACACAUGCAAGUCGAACGGAAAGGCCCUGCUUUUGUGGGGUGCUCGAGUGGCGAACGGGUGAGUAACACGUGAGUAGCCUGCCCUUGACUUUGGGAUAACUUCAGGAAACUGGGGCUAAUACCGGAUAGGAGCUCCUGCUGCAUGGUGGUGGUUGGAAAGUUUCGGCGGUUGGGGAUGGACUCGCGGCUUAUCAGCUUGUUGGUGGGGUAGUGGCUUACCAAGGCUUUGACGGGUAGCCGGCCUGAGAGGGUGACCGGCCACAUUGGGCCUGAGAUACGGCCCAGACUCCUACGGGAGGCAGCAGUGGGGAGUAUUGCACAAUGGGCGGAAGCCUGAUGCAGCAACGCCGCGUGCGGGAUGACGGCCUUCGGGUUGUAAACCGCUUUCGCCUGUGACGAAGCGUGAGUGACGGUAAUGGGUAAAGAAGCACCGGCUAACUACGUG